Molecule: ribosomal RNA, 497 nt
Filed under: uncultured bacterium
Lineage: Bacteria
Description: partial 16S ribosomal RNA
Rfam family: Bacterial small subunit ribosomal RNA
Source: RNAcentral
GAUGAACGCUGGCGGCGUGCCUAAUACAUGCCAGUCGAGCGAACGGACGAGAAGCUUGCUUCUCUGAUGUUGGCGGCGGACGGGUGAGUAACACGUGGAUAACCUACCUAUAAGACUGGGAUAACUUCGGGAAACCGUAGCUAAUACCGGAUAAUAUUUUGAACCGCAUGGUUCAAAAGUGAAAGACGGUCUUGCUGUCACUUAUAGAUGGAUCCGCGCUGCAUUAGCUAGUUGGUAAGGUAACGGCUUACCAAGGCAACGAUGCAUAGCCGACCUGAGAGGGUGAUCGGCCACACUGGAACUGAGACACGGUCCAGACUCCUACGGGAGGCAGCAGUAGGGAAUCUUCCGCAAUGGGCGAAAGCCUGACGGAGCAACGCCGCGUGAGUGAUGAAGGUCUUCGGAUCGUAAAACUCUGUUAUUAGGGAAGAACAUAUGUGUAAGUAACUGUGCACAUCUUGACGGUACCUAAUCAGAAAGCCACGGCUAACUACGUG